Small nucleolar RNA from Lacerta agilis (Sand lizard), 71 nucleotides. Lineage: Eukaryota; Metazoa; Chordata; Lepidosauria; Squamata; Lacertidae. The record is from RefSeq and is a predicted model, not a curated record.
UGGAUGUGAUGACAUGACCUGAGCCUGACCUAUCCCGGUGGAGGCAAAAACUGAUUUAAUGAGUCUGAUCC